Molecule: long non-coding RNA, 325 nt
Organism: Peromyscus eremicus (cactus mouse)
Lineage: Eukaryota; Metazoa; Chordata; Mammalia; Rodentia; Cricetidae
Exons: 3
Source: RefSeq, a predicted model, not a curated record
AGGCUCUGGAGGAGAGUUGGUAUGAGGCACAGAAAGUGUGGUUGGUGCAGAAGGACGGGUUCACUCUUGCGACAGUGCUCAAACCAGAUGAGGGGACGGCUGACCUGCCGCCCGGAAGGGUGCGGCUUAGUAUCGAUGCCGACAAGACUGUCACAGAGGUGGAUGAGGAGCAGGUUCACCGAGCCAACCCCUCUGAGCUGGACCAGGCCGAGGACCUGGCUUCUCUGGUCAGUGUUAACGAGUCAAGCGUCCUGAACACGCUUCUACAGCGCUACCAGGCUCAGCUGCCACACACCCGUUCGGGCCCUGAUCUGAUCGCCAUGCA